UUUUUUGAUUCAGAUAAUGGUGGCUGUUAGGAAUAACAGCAUUAAAAGGGAAUAGUGUGCAAAUCACUGGCUGUCCCGCAACUGUAAGCAGUACCUGAAUUUUAUCUACCUGAUGUUCAUUGCCGGCAGGCCCGGUGAGAAGAACAGAUAAAAUACUGCGAGCCAGGAAACCUGCCUUAUCUGCCUGUUGACA
RNAcentral lists this non-coding RNA (193 nucleotides) under Chitinophaga jiangningensis. Lineage: Bacteria; Pseudomonadati; Bacteroidota; Chitinophagia; Chitinophagales; Chitinophagaceae. The record is from RNAcentral.